This 460-nucleotide ribosomal RNA is filed under the name uncultured bacterium. RNAcentral describes it as "partial 16S ribosomal RNA". It matches the Rfam family "Bacterial small subunit ribosomal RNA", at positions 338 to 795 of the family's 1533-position model. The record is from RNAcentral.
GCUACGGGAGGCAGCAGUGAGGAAUAUUGGUCAAUGGGCGCGAGCCUGAACCAGCCAAGUCGCGUGAAGGAUGACUGCCCUACGGGUUGUAAACUUCUUUUAUAAAGGAAUAAAGUGAGGCACGUGUGACUUUUUGCAUGUACUUUAUGAAUAAGGAUCGGCUAACUCCGUGCCAGCAGCCGCGGUAAUACGGAGGAUCCGAGCGUUAUCCGGAGUUAUUGGGUUUAAAGGGAGCGUAGAUGGGUUGUUAAGUCAGUUGUGAAAGUUUGCGGCUCAACCGUAAAAUUGCAAUUGAUACUGGCAGUGUUGAGGACAGUUGAGGUAUGCGGAAUGCGUGGUGUAGCGGUGAAAUGCUUAGAGAUCACGAAGAACCCCGAUUGCGAAGGCAGCUUACUAAACUGUGACUGACAUUGAUGCUCGAAAGUGUGGGUAUCAAACAGGAUUAGAUACCCUUGUAGUC